GGUUAAGCGACUAAGCGUACACGGUGGAUGCCCUGGCAGUCAGAGGCGAUGAAGGACGUGCUAAUCUGCGAUAAGCGUCGGUAAGGUGAUAUGAACCGUUAUAACCGGCGAUUUCCGAAUGGGGAAACCCAGUGUGUUUCGACACACUAUCAUUAACUGAAUCCAUAGGUUAAUGAGGCGAACCGGGGGAACUGAAACAUCUAAGUACCCCGAGGAAAAGAAAUCAACCGAGAUUCCCCCAGUAGCGGCGAGCGAACGGGGAGCAGCCCAGAGCCUGAAUCAGUGUGUGUGUUAGUGGAAGCGUCUGGAAAGGCGCGCGAUACAGGGUGACAGCCCCGUACACAAAAAUGCACAUGCUGUGAGCUCGAUGAGUAGGGCGGGACACGUGGUAUCCUGUCUGAAUAUGGGGGGACCAUCCUCCAAGGCUAAAUACUCCUGACUGACCGAUAGUGAACCAGUACCGUGAGGGAAAGGCGAAAAGAACCCCGGCGAGGGGAGUGAAAAAGAACCUGAAACCGUGUACGUACAAGCAGUGGGAGCACGCUUAGGCGUGUGACUGCGUACCUUUUGUAUAAUGGGUCAGCGACUUAUAUUCUGUAGCAAGGUUAACCGAAUAGGGGAGCCGAAGGGAAACCGAGUCUUAACUGGGCGUUAAGUUGCAGGGUAUAGACCCGAAACCCGGUGAUCUAGCCAUGGGCAGGUUGAAGGUUGGGUAACACUAACUGGAGGACCGAACCGACUAAUGUUGAAAAAUUAGCGGAUGACUUGUGGCUGGGGGUGAAAGGCCAAUCAAACCGGGAGAUAGCUGGUUCUCCCCGAAAGCUAUUUAGGUAGCGCCUCGUGAAUUCAUCUCCGGGGGUAGAGCACUGUUUCGGCAAGGGGGUCAUCCCGACUUACCAACCCGAUGCAAACUGCGAAUACCGGAGAAUGUUAUCACGGGAGACACACGGCGGGUGCUAACGUCCGUCGUGAAGAGGGAAACAACCCAGACCGCCAGCUAAGGUCCCAAAGUCAUGGUUAAGUGGGAAACGAUGUGGGAAGGCCCAGACAGCCAGGAUGUUGGCUUAGAAGCAGCCAUCAUUUAAAGAAAGCGUAAUAGCUCACUGGUCGAGUCGGCCUGCGCGGAAGAUGUAACGGGGCUAAACCAUGCACCGAAGCUGCGGCAGCGACGCUUAUGCGUUGUUGGGUAGGGGAGCGUUCUGUAAGCCUGUGAAGGUGUGCUGUGAGGCAUGCUGGAGGUAUCAGAAGUGCGAAUGCUGACAUAAGUAACGAUAAAGCGGGUGAAAAGCCCGCUCGCCGGAAGACCAAGGGUUCCUGUCCAACGUUAAUCGGGGCAGGGUGAGUCGACCCCUAAGGCGAGGCCGAAAGGCGUAGUCGAUGGGAAACAGGUUAAUAUUCCUGUACUUGGUGUUACUGCGAAGGGGGGACGGAGAAGGCUAUGUUGGCCGGGCGACGGUUGUCCCGGUUUAAGCGUGUAGGCUGGUUUUCCAGGCAAAUCCGGAAAAUCAAGGCUGAGGCGUGAUGACGAGGCACUACGGUGCUGAAGCAACAAAUGCCCUGCUUCCAGGAAAAGCCUCUAAGCAUCAGGUAACAUCAAAUCGUACCCCAAACCGACACAGGUGGUCAGGUAGAGAAUACCAAGGCGCUUGAGAGAACUCGGGUGAAGGAACUAGGCAAAAUGGUGCCGUAACUUCGGGAGAAGGCACGCUGAUACGUAGGUGAAGUCCCUCGCGGAUGGAGCUGAAAUCAGUCGAAGAUACCAGCUGGCUGCAACUGUUUAUUAAAAACACAGCACUGUGCAAACACGAAAGUGGACGUAUACGGUGUGACGCCUGCCCGGUGCCGGAAGGUUAAUUGAUGGGGUCAGCGCAAGCGAAGCUCUUGAUCGAAGCCCCGGUAAACGGCGGCCGUAACUAUAACGGUCCUAAGGUAGCGAAAUUCCUUGUCGGGUAAGUUCCGACCUGCACGAAUGGCGUAAUGAUGGCCAGGCUGUCUCCACCCGAGACUCAGUGAAAUUGAACUCGCUGUGAAGAUGCAGUGUACCCGCGGCAAGACGGAAAGACCCCGUGAACCUUUACUAUAGCUUGACACUGAACAUUGAGCCUUGAUGUGUAGGAUAGGUGGGAGGCUUNNNNNNNNNNNNNNNNNNNNNNNNNNNNNNNNNNNNNNNNNNNNNNNNNNNNNNNNNNNNNNNNNNNNNNNNNNNNNNNNNNNNNNNNNNNNNNNAUCCGGGUUGCGGACAGUGUCUGGUGGGUAGUUUGACUGGGGCGGUCUCCUCCUAAAGAGUAACGGAGGAGCACGAAGGUUGGCUAAUCCUGGUCGGACAUCAGGAGGUUAGUGCAAUGGCAUAAGCCAGCUUGACUGCGAGCGUGACGGCGCGAGCAGGUGCGAAAGCAGGUCAUAGUGAUCCGGUGGUUCUGAAUGGAAGGGCCAUCGCUCAACGGAUAAAAGGUACUCCGGGGAUAACAGGCUGAUACCGCCCAAGAGUUCAUAUCGACGGCGGUGUUUGGCACCUCGAUGUCGGCUCAUCACAUCCUGGGGCUGAAGUAGGUCCCAAGGGUAUGGCUGUUCGCCAUUUAAAGUGGUACGCGAGCUGGGUUUAGAACGUCGUGAGACAGUUCGGUCCCUAUCUGCCGUGGGCGCUGGAGAACUGAGGGGGGCUGCUCCUAGUACGAGAGGACCGGAGUGGACGCAUCACUGGUGUUCGGGUUGUCAUGCCAAUGGCACUGCCCGGUAGCUAAAUGCGGAAGAGAUAAGUGCUGAAAGCAUCUAAGCACGAAACUUGCCCCGAGAUGAGUUCUCCCUGACUCCUUGAGAGUCCUGAAGGAACGUUGAAGACGACGACGUUGAUAGGCCGGGUGUGUAAGCGCAGCGAUGCGUUGAGCUAACCGGUACUAAUGAACCGUGAGGCUUAACCUU
Molecule: ribosomal RNA, 2919 nt
Filed under: Escherichia coli
Lineage: Bacteria; Pseudomonadati; Pseudomonadota; Gammaproteobacteria; Enterobacterales; Enterobacteriaceae
Description: 23S ribosomal RNA
Rfam family: Bacterial large subunit ribosomal RNA
Source: RNAcentral